This 409-nucleotide ribosomal RNA is filed under the name uncultured bacterium. Its description in RNAcentral is "bacterial SSU rRNA". It matches the Rfam family "Bacterial small subunit ribosomal RNA", at positions 355 to 764 of the family's 1533-position model. The record is from RNAcentral.
UAAGGAAUAUUGGUCAAUGGACGCAAGUCUGAACCAGCCAUGCCGCGUGAAGGAUGAAGGUCCUCUGGAUUGUAAACUUCUUUUAUCUGGGACGAAAACGGGAUUUUUAUCUCAAUUUACGGUACCAUUUAUAAGCUCCGGCUAACUACGUGCCAGCAGCCGCGGUAAUACGUAGGGAGCAAGCGUUGUUCGGAUUUACUGGGCGUAAAGGGCGCGUAGGCGGCGCGGUAAGUCACUUGUGAAAUCUCUGAGCUUAACUCAGAACGGCCAAGUGAUACUGCUGUGCUAGAGUGCGGAAGAGGCAACCGUAAUUCUUGGUGUAGCGGUGAAAUGCGUAGAUAGCAAGAGGAACACCUGAGGCGAAGGCGGGUUGCUGGGCCGACACUGACGCUGAUGCGCGAAAGCCAGG